Molecule: ribosomal RNA, 440 nt
Filed under: uncultured bacterium
Lineage: Bacteria
Description: partial 16S ribosomal RNA
Rfam family: Bacterial small subunit ribosomal RNA
Source: RNAcentral
CCUACGGGGGGCAGCAGUGGGGGAUAUUGCACAAUGGGGGAAACCCUGAUGCAGCGACGCCGCGUGGGUGAAGAAGCGCCUCGGCGCGUAAAGCCCUGUCAGCAGGGAAGAAAAUGACGGUACCUGAAGAAGAAGCCCCGGCUAACUACGUGCCAGCAGCCGCGGUAAUACGUAGGGGGCAAGCGUUAACCGGAUUUACUGGGUGUAAAGGGGGCGCAGACGGGGAUGCAAGCCAGGAGUGAAAGCCCGGGGCCCAACCCCGGGACUGCUCUUGGAACUGCGUGGCUAGAGUGCAGGAGGGGCAGGCGGAAUGCGUGGUGUAGCGGUGAAAUGCGUAGAUAUCAGGAGGAACACCGGUGGCGAAGGCGGCCUGCUGGACUGCAACUGACGUUGAGGCCCGAAAGCGUGGGGAGCAAACAGGAUUAGAUACCCCUGUAGUC